RNAcentral lists this ribosomal RNA (521 nucleotides) under uncultured bacterium. RNAcentral describes it as "partial 16S ribosomal RNA". It matches the Rfam family "Bacterial small subunit ribosomal RNA", at positions 28 to 523 of the family's 1533-position model. The record is from RNAcentral.
GACGAACGCUGGCGGCGUGCCUAAUACAUGCAAGUAGGACGCACAGUUUAUACCGUAGCUUGCUACACCAUAGACUGUGAGUUGCGAACGGGUGAGUAACGCGUAGGUAACCUGCCUAUUAGAGGGGGAUAACUAUUGGAAACGAUAGCUAAUACUGCAUAACAGUAUGUAACACAUGUUAGAUGUUUGAAAGAUGCAAUUGCAUCGCUAGUAGCUUGACCUUCGUGGUAUUAGCUAGUAGGUAGGGUAAAGGCCUACCUAGGCAACGAUACAUAGCCGACCUGAGAGGGUGAUCGGCCACACUGGGACUGAGAAACGGCCCAGACUCCUACGGGAGGCAGCAGUAGGGAAUCUUCGGCAAUGGGGGGAACCCUGACCGAGCAACGCCGCGUGAGUGAAGAAGGUUUUCGGAUCGUAAAGCUCUGUUGUUAAGGAAGAACGAGUGUGAGAAUGGAAAGUUCAUGCUGUGACGGUACUUAACCAGAAAGGGACGGCUAACUACGUGCCAGCAGCCGCCGCAG